GUUUAUAUGCUUUCUUUUGCUUGUAUCAAAUGAAAUGCAACGGAAGGAUACUUUGCCAUAAAGAUCACAGACAUUGCUGGAGAAUACCGCUGACGUUCUCUAGAUAAUACUAUAUGAAUGGCCACCAAAGUUAACAUCUCGUAUAGCUGUAAGGACAGCACCUUCUAUGUAAAACAAGAACAAUGCUGUGACUCUUCUGGUGAACAAUUUCAAUCAUAUUAUGGUGACUACAUCCCAUAUUCAAUACCCAUGAUCAGGCAAAUUCUAGUUCAUCUGGACAUCAUAGAAUGACUACUGGCUCGAAUAAAAAAAAAUAAA
Rattus norvegicus (Norway rat) is the source of this 318-nucleotide non-coding RNA. The record is from RefSeq and is a predicted model, not a curated record. NCBI's taxonomy places the organism in Eukaryota, Metazoa, Chordata, Mammalia, Rodentia, Muridae.